GAUGAACGCUGGCGGCGUGCCUAAUACAUGCAAGUAGAACGCUGAAGCUUGGUGCUUGCACCGAGCGGAUGAGUUGCGAACGGGUGAGUAACGCGUAGGUAACCUGCCUCUUAGCGGGGGAUAACUAUUGGAAACGAUAGCUAAUACCGCAUAAAAGUCGACAUCGCAUGAUGUUGACUUGAAAGGUGCAAUUGCAUCACUAAGAGAUGGACCUGCGUUGUAUUAGCUAGUUGGUGAGGUAACGGCGCACCAAGGCGACGAUACAUAGCCGACCUGAGAGGGUGAUCGGCCGCACUGGGCCUGCGACACGGCCCAGACUCCUACGGGAGGCAGCAGUAGGGAAUCUUCGGCAAUGGGGGCAACACUGACCGAGCAACGCCGCGUGAGUGAAGAAGGUUUUCGGAUCGUAAAGCUCUGUUGUAAGAGAAGAACGAGUGUGAGAGUGGAAAGUUCACACUGUGACGGUAACUUACCAGAAAGGGACGGCUAACUACGUG
RNAcentral lists this ribosomal RNA (497 nucleotides) under uncultured bacterium. RNAcentral's name for it is "partial 16S ribosomal RNA". It matches the Rfam family "Bacterial small subunit ribosomal RNA", at positions 28 to 507 of the family's 1533-position model. The record is from RNAcentral.